AUCUGAGAAGAAAAUACACUUAAAAGGUUGAUAAUUAAUUACAUUAGUAAAAUAGAAGAGACAAGGACAUUGAAUGGAGACAGAUAAAUGAAAAAUACAAAAAGAAAUAAUUAAAUAUAUUUUCAAAUAACGAAGAGGACAGGUAUUUUUAUUUUGCCUUCCUAAAACACAUGAUUUCCGAUGCUACUCCUGAUAGGUUGCUCUCCCUCACAUGACCGGAAGUACUAAAUUCAGCGGUUUAGUGAGUGCUUUUGAAAUAAUUAAAAAAAAAAAACAUGAUAGCCAGAGAAUGGGUUGUUAUUUUAUUUAGCCAUUUAUUUCAGCAUACACAGGUUUAUUCUUAAUACUUGGAAAUACCCGCCGUGCAAGCCCGUUGAAGCAAUGAAGUGGUGAAAUGUAGAUUAUUCGGUCCAAACGGUACCACUUCUGUGAAAAAUGCUUCAAUGAGAUUCAAGUAGAGAGCGUGACAUUGGGUGAUGAUCCGGCACAGCCACAGACGUAAGUGCAACAGACAUUUGUGAAUCUGCCAGUGAAAACUAGAACCAAAAUCUGUUCCCCCACCUUCUCUCUUAUUAGCCUUCUCACUCAUUUCUCCCGCUUUAGUUAAAAAGUAGUUUUCUCAGAAAUGAUACAACUGUGUUUUGUACUGCAUACUGUCACAUUUAAAAAAAUAAAUGUUUUUGCUCAAAUUCAGGAGGAUAUCAAAAGACCAAUUUGAACGUAGAAGAAUGAUGUACUUGAUCAAGAACCGUAAGUAAACGGGGGAGGGGGCUUUGAGGCAGUGGAAGCUUUUAUAUUGUCUUUUGCUGAUAGUUACAAUUCUUGCUUUUUUUAAACUCGGGGUAUGCUACUGCUAACUUGUAGGUGUGUAACAUUAGGGAGACAUGAACUCAAUUCAUAUUCUAAUUUUUCACAAUAGUGGCUUUCAUGCAGAUUAGGACACAAUCCAGAGAACUGAAACAGUCUUGUAUCUUCUUUUCUUCAGGUUUGUUGAAUGUAAAGAUUGUGGACGAAAGAUGCACCAAAUGUGUUUUACACUACGAUGUCAUUUGGCCAUCUGGGACAAGCAUUUUAAUCUGGAUUAGCAUGAGCGGAAGAAGGCGAAAUACGCUGAGCUUGUUGAGUCCUGCAGGGAGAAUGGGUGGAGGACCCGGCGCAAUACCCACCAACGUCCUGCAGGACCUCCUCCAUACUCUCCACGUGGGGAGGUUCUGCAGUGCCCUGCUCAAUGUUUUGUAAGUUUGUUAUUUUAGUUUGGACUGGAGAUUUCUGGUAGUCCUGUUUUCGUUUUUAUGUAGAUUUUGUAGUUUAGAGGGUGGAUGGCCCUGUAUAGGGUUUGCCCAGUGUUCUCCCUACUUUUGUUUAGUUUGGCCAGGAUCUUCAGUCCCUUUUAGUUUGUUCUGUUGCUACUUUUGAUCACUUUGUUAAUAAAUACUUUUGAUAAUCGUUCUGUGUUUGUCGU
This 1462-nucleotide long non-coding RNA is filed under the name Gouania willdenowi (blunt-snouted clingfish). Its description in RNAcentral is "lncRNA (ENSGWIG00000021759.1)". The record is from RNAcentral. Lineage: Eukaryota; Metazoa; Chordata; Actinopteri; Blenniiformes; Gobiesocidae.